GACGAACGCUGGCGGCGUGCCUAAUACAUGCAAGUAGAACGCUGAAGAGAGGAGCUUACUCUUCUUGGAUGAGUUGCGAACGGGUGAGUAACGCGUAGGUAACCUGCCUUGUAGCGGGGGAUAACUAUUGGAAACGAUAGCUAAUACCGCAUAACAAUGGAUGACACAUGUCAUUUAUUUGAAAGGGGCAAUUGCUCCACUACAAGAUGGACCUGCGUUGUAUUAGCUAGUAGGUGAGGUAAUGGCUCACCUAGGCGACGAUACAUAGCCGACCUGAGAGGGUGAUCGGCCACACUGGGACUGAGACACGGCCCAGACUCCUACGGGAGGCAGCAGUAGGGAAUCUUCGGCAAUGGGGGCAACCCUGACCGAGCAACGCCGCGUGAGUGAAGAAGGUUUUCGGAUCGUAAAGCUCUGUUGUAAGUCAAGAACGGGUGUGAGGGUGGAAAGUUCACACUGUGACGGUAGCUUACCAGAAAGGGACGGCUAACUACGUG
This 497-nucleotide ribosomal RNA is filed under the name uncultured bacterium. RNAcentral's name for it is "partial 16S ribosomal RNA". It matches the Rfam family "Bacterial small subunit ribosomal RNA", at positions 28 to 507 of the family's 1533-position model. The record is from RNAcentral.